Pseudopipra pipra is the source of this 2394-nucleotide long non-coding RNA. RefSeq lists it as uncharacterized. Lineage: Eukaryota; Metazoa; Chordata; Aves; Passeriformes; Pipridae. The transcript has 3 exons. The record is from RefSeq and is a predicted model, not a curated record.
AUAAUUUCCUAGCUCUACUCCUGGCCUUUUUAAAGAGGGUUAUGUUUGUGUAACUAUGUCCUUCAGUAGCUGCUGCCUUUUCAGAAGGCUGUGAAGAAUCUUUCACCUGAGCCCAGCCUCUCCUGAAGGAGUUUACAUACGUGACUUGGUUAAGGAUGCAGCAUAAUGGAUGUACCUUUUGAAAAAAAAAACUUUUUUUACCAGCAGUAAUUAGCAGCAUGACGUGAGAGGGACCAUGAGUGGUGUUCCCAGUCCUUCCAGGGAGAGGGAAAGGUCUGGGCACAAAUAGAUGCCUUCAGUGGAUUGACACUUUGUGCAUGGCUGGUAUUGCAGACAGGAGUUUGGCUCCUGCACAUGCACAAUUAGGAGGAGCAAGGACUUUAAAGCAGGAGCAAGGCCCACCUGACAAGGUGUGGCAAAAUGAGUGCCUUUGGGAGUCUUCAAACAACCAACAGGUUGUAGGGUGGUCAAGCACUGGAACAGAUGACCUGAAGAGUGGUGGGAUCUCCAACAAGAAUGUACUGGACAAAACAUUUUUGAACAUGCUUCAAGCAGGGGCUUGGACCAGGAUGACCUCCAGAAAGUCAGUCCAGUAUAAGUUAUUCUAUGAUCUUGUGGAGAGCAAGCAUACAGUGUUUAACCUCCUGAUACUCCAUGUUUAGACUGAUUUCAGAGAGAUCACACACUUACUUUAGCUGAAGAAUUAGUAAGAACCAACCAUACCAAAAAUUAAACCUAAAAUCCUUUUUUUUCUGCUUAAAGAGUAGCUAUAUUUUUUUUCCUUCCCUUUACACAAAUACAAAUAACCACCUGGAAAGAGGGCAUAAACAGAAAUUUAUGUAUUCACAUAGUAUUCACUGGAGGAGCAGAAAGAGGGGGUUAAAACCCUCACACUGAGCAAGGAUAACACAAUAAAAUCAGUGAGUUCCAAGAGCUGUUCUAACAUUGCACCCGUCAGAGGGCAGCAGAACCUGCAGAACAGGCUGCUUCCUUACUUUUAAUUUCACAUUCAGGAAGAGCCAGAAAAGAAAAGAAACACUUUAGAAAAAGAAACACUUUAGAAACACUUCUGGUAAAAGCUAGCUUGAUGCCUAAUUUUAAUAACCUUGAAGUGGUCUAAUAUAAUUCUGAGCACAGCAAUUUUCAACAAAGCGAUGUACCUCAAAUUACCUGUUGGUGAGAACAGCUAUUCUGCAUAUAUUGUGGUAGAAGAAAACCAGACUGUUUAGGAAAUUAAUGUUUGGUAGCAUGGAAUUUUGGAUGAAUGUUUUCAAAUAAGAAACAGAAAAAUGUAUUGCAAUUUGCUACAGGGAUAUAGAGCUUUGUAGCAAUAUUUUAUUCAAAUAACACCUCGUAGAAAACAAAAGGGUUAUUCCCUAAUUUACAGCAAUGUAGGGAUUUCCCACACUAAUGCAUUUUCAGAGAUUGUAUCCACAGUAAUAAAUGAAUGACACUCAGCAACAAUGAAAAGCUAGAAUUAACAUGGGAUACAGAGAAGAUAGUCAGCAUAAUGAUCUCUCUAAACGUCUACUGUGUCAUACAGAAGGAUUGAAAUUAAUGGCAAUAGUUUUUAUCUGUAGAUGACACCUUGAAUUAUGUUGGGAGUAGCAAGUGAGUAUAAAUAAAGGAUGCAUUUUUCUCUCUCCUUAUAAGUUAUUAACAGUAUUUUGAAGUGCUUCAUGUAAUUGUUGGAAAGUAAAUAAAUCCACGAAGGUUACACUGAAAUAAACAAUAAAAGUAUUUAUUUGAGUAAAAUGUUGUUACUAUGCCAAAGGAGGACCCUUGCAGAAAGGGAUGGAAACAGGAGCAGAACCCACUUUCCAUACCUCUGUGGAUUACACAGACAUUUGGACACCUAGUUUAUCCAUUUAUUGGAAAUUCAUGCAAAGUCUCACUCAAAUCUCAUCUGCUUUCCCAUUCAAAGAAUUUUCAGUGUAUAAUAUAAUACAUACAGGCUGAGUCCUGGUAAUGGCACAGAAGACUGUUCAGGCAGCUCAAAAACAUGGAAACCAGUGAGUUGAAAUCAUUCAAGCAGCCUGCUCUUCACUUCUUCCCCCAAGCAAAACCACAAAUCAGAGCUCAAGGAGAAAAAAGCAAGAGAUCCUUCCUCUGAGACAAAAAAGAUCUGUUUGCAGAGGGUUUCCAGUCCAUCCUGCUUCAGGAGUAUGCAGCACACUCGUGGCUUAGCUGACCUUGUUUCUUUUGAAUAUCACAUCCAUCACUGUAAAGCCUUGCAUGCUCUUUGCGUUGGAUCAGGCAGGUGAAUUCACCCUUCCAUCAAAGACACAUCGCAGUGAUCUCUCAAACUAAGAAAAAUGCAGAAUAUUUUGACAAGGGGCAAGGUUUUGGUGAAAAAACCACUAAGGCAUGCCAACUGUAGAGUUUCUGAAUUGA